RNAcentral lists this ribosomal RNA (403 nucleotides) under bacterium. Its description in RNAcentral is "partial 16S ribosomal RNA". It matches the Rfam family "Bacterial small subunit ribosomal RNA", at positions 355 to 776 of the family's 1533-position model. The record is from RNAcentral.
UGGGGAAUAUUGCACAAUGGAGGGAACUCUGAUGCAGCGACGCCGCGUGAACGAAGAAGGCUUUCGAGUCGUAAAGUUCUUUUAUAUGGGAAGAUAAUGACGGUACCAUAAGAAAAAGCCCCGGCUAACUACGUGCCAGCAGCCGCGGUAAUACGUAGGGGGCUAGCGUUGUCCGGAAUCACAGGGCGUAAAGGGUUCGCAGGCGGAAAUGCAAGUCAGGUGUAAAAGGCAGUAGCUUAACUACUGUAAGCAUUUGAAACUGCAUAUCUUGAGAAGAGUAGAGGUAAGUGGAAUUUUUAGUGUAGCGGUGAAAUGCGUAGAUAUUAAAAAGAAUACCGGUGGCGAAGGCGGCUUACUGGGCUCAUUCUGACGCUGAGGAACGAAAGCGUGGGUAGCAAACAGG